This 76-nucleotide transfer RNA is filed under the name Acinetobacter baumannii. RNAcentral's name for it is "tRNA-Val". It matches the Rfam family "tRNA". Rfam says of the family: Transfer RNA (tRNA) molecules are approximately 80 nucleotides in length. Their secondary structure includes four short double-helical elements and three loops (D, anti-codon, and T loops). Further hydrogen bonds mediate the characteristic L-shaped molecular structure. tRNAs have two regions of fundamental functional importance: the anti-codon, which is responsible for specific mRNA codon recognition, and the 3' end, to which the tRNAs corresponding amino acid is attached (by aminoacyl-tRNA synthetases). tRNAs cope with the degeneracy of the genetic code in two manners: having more than one tRNA (with a specific anti-codon) for a particular amino acid; and 'wobble' base-pairing, i.e. permitting non-standard base-pairing at the 3rd anti-codon position. Lineage: Bacteria; Pseudomonadati; Pseudomonadota; Gammaproteobacteria; Moraxellales; Moraxellaceae. The record is from RNAcentral.
GGGCGCUUAGCUCAGUUGGUAGAKCGUCUGCCUUACAAGCAGAAUGUCGGCGGUUCGACCCCGUCCGCGCCCCCCC